Molecule: ribosomal RNA, 436 nt
Filed under: Schmidingerella taraikaensis
Lineage: Eukaryota; Ciliophora; Spirotrichea; Tintinnida; Rhabdonellidae
Description: partial Bacterial small subunit ribosomal RNA
Rfam family: Bacterial small subunit ribosomal RNA
Source: RNAcentral
GGGAGGCAGCAGUGGGGAAUAUUGCACAAUGGGCGAAAGCCUGAUGCAGCCAUGCCGCGUGAAUGAUGAAGGCCUUAGGGUUGUAAAAUUCUUUCGCUAGGGAUGAUAAUGACAGUACCUAGUAAAGAAGCCCCGGCUAACUUCGUGCCAGCAGCCGCGGUAAUACGAAGGGGGCUAGCGUUGUUCGGAAUUACUGGGCGUAAAGGGCGUGUAGGCGGCGGAUUUAGUUAGGCGUGAAAGCCCCGGGCUCAACCUGGGAACUGCGCUUAAUACUGAUUUGCUAGAGUCCGGGAGGGGCGAGUGGAAUAUCAAGUGUAGAGGUGAAAUUCGUAGAUAUUGGAUGGAACACCAGUGGCGAAGGCGGCUCGCUGGACCGGAACUGACGCUGAGGCGCGAAAGCGUGGGGAGCAAACAGGAUUAGAUACCCUGGUAGUCC